CUCACUGGGACCGGUUGGACAGUGGAUGCAGCCCAUGGAGGAAACAGAGAUUCAAAAGGGUCAGGUCACUGGCUCCAGGUCAACUCUACUACUAAACAGAAAAGCAAGGACCAAAAUUCAGAUCUUUGUGACCCUCAAUGCCACUAUGCCAUGCGAUGAUGCCUGCCUCUUUUAGAGGCCAACUAAUAGGCCAACUUGAUUUUCUUGAGGAAUGGCCGAAUGGAAGUUGAAUGGUUGAAGGUGACUGGCAAACAGAGAAACAAGGCACCAAGAACUGGCUAUUUCCAAACGUGGGCAAUCAGCUUCUGAAUGAAUAGUUCAGAAUGAUGCAGCUCUGGAUGUUGGAAAGGACAAUUCCGGCGUUUUACUCUUCUGACCAGUUUCUUCGUUUUCAUAACUCUACUUGAAGAACAUAUGAUGUUUGCCAGUGUCUGACAUUACGGACCUCACAGCUUACUGAAUCUGAAAACAGGAGAUAGAGAUGGAAAGGAAAGCCUCAGGAACUUGUUGCAAUAGGGACUGCCAGGUCCCGUUGCACUAUUGGUGGAAGAGAGGUCCACACGGUGCCUACGAUAAGCGAUUUGUUCGUAUCUAUCCAGACUGCAGGUGCAUACAGCCACUCAUCCUCAAAUGCCAUCCUCAGGAGUUUAUGCUGCACACAGACUGGCACAUGUGCAGGAAGACAUAGUGCAGGGCUACGUGCUACAACAUUGUUGGUGACAGCAACAUAUUGGAAGCAACCUGAAUUUUUGUUAAUAGAGGAUUGGCUACAUAAAUGAUGCUAAUCUAUACAACUGGAGUACUAUGAUGCCAUAAAAAAGAAUGUACAAGGUCUUUACGUUUGGAAAGAUCUCUAAGAUAUAAUGAUUUUCUUUGCCUCUCAAGGGAGCUGGGAGAAACUCAAGUCUGAAACUCAAACUCAUCUCAGUCAUUCCUUUCCCUUCAACUAGACCUGAACCUCAGGAGAUCUGGAGUAUGUGCUGAAUUCUACUGGGAACUGAGCCCUCUGAAUAUUAUUAUUGUUUUGCUAAUACUUUUUGCUGGAAAGUACAUCAAACCAGGAUGUGUUGUACCUCUUGCUUUGCCAGACUAUUUAAAAGCAAAAGUGACCAGAUAUCCAACUUAAGGCUGAUCCAGGUUUUUCAUGAUCUAGCCAGGGGAGACAAACCUUCCAGGAAAGUCUCUAGCGAAGGCCAAGGAUUUUAGAAAGUAUCUGUGAACAAAGAAAUGCAAUGUUAGUGGGCUAAUUUCCAUAAUCAAAUGAAGCUGAUGCAAGUGCUUUGUGAAUUGAUGCCCAUCAACGAGAGACUGGAUAAAGAAAAUGUGGCACAUAUACGCCAUGGAAUACUAUGUAGCCGUAAAAAUG
Molecule: long non-coding RNA, 1366 nt
Filed under: Homo sapiens (human)
Lineage: Eukaryota; Metazoa; Chordata; Mammalia; Primates; Hominidae
Description: HSALNT0332523
Source: RNAcentral